UGUUGCGGUUAAAAGCUCGUAGUUGGAUUUCUGUCGAGAACGCGCGGUCCACGCUUUGCGUGAGUAUCUGUGUCGGUCUUGGCAUCCUCUAAAGGAUCGUUUCUGCGCUUGAUUGCGUGGAGCGGAACUUUAGACUUUUACUUUGAGGAAAUUAGAGUGUUCACGGCAGGCAAACGCCUUGAAUACAUUAGCAUGGAAUAAUAACAUAGGGCCUUGGUUCUAUUUUGUUGGUUUCUAGAGCUGAGGCAAUGAUUAAUAGGGAUAAUUGGGGGCAUUCGUACUAACGCGUCAGAGGUGGAAUUCUUGGAUUGCGUUAUGACGAACUACUGCGAAAGCAUUUGCCAAGGAUGUUUUCAUUGAUCAAGAACGAAAGUUAGGGGAUCGAAGACGCUUAGAUACCGUUUUAGUCUUAACCAUAAACUAUGCCGACUAGAGAUUGGAGGUCGUUUUUUUUAUGACUCCUUCAGCACCUUAUGAGAAAUCAAAGUCUUUGGGUUCCGGGGGGAGUAUGGUCGCAAGGCUGAAACUUAAAGGAAUUGACGGAAGGGCACCACCAGGAGUGGAGCCUGCGGCUUAAUUUGACUCAACACGGGGAAACUUACCAGGUCCAGACAUAGUGAGGAUUGACAGAUUGAUAGCUCUUUCUUGAUUCUAUGGGUGGUGGUGCAUGGCCGUCCUUAGUUGGUGGAGUGAUUUGUCAUUGCUUGAUUGCGGUAACGAACGAGACCUUUGCAUGCUAAAUAGUUCCGCGUAUCUUCGGAUAUUCGCCGAACUUCUUAGAUGGACUUUGUGCGUCAAGCACACGGAAGUUAGAGGCAAUAACAGGUCUGUGAUGCCCUUAGAUGUUCUGGGCUGCACGCGCGCUACACUGAUGCGUUCAACGAGUGUACACCUUACUCGAGAGGGUUGGGUAAUCUUUUGA
This 922-nucleotide ribosomal RNA is filed under the name uncultured Syndiniales. RNAcentral describes it as "SSU rRNA". It matches the Rfam family "Eukaryotic small subunit ribosomal RNA", at positions 611 to 1557 of the family's 1831-position model. Lineage: Eukaryota; Dinophyceae; Syndiniales. The record is from RNAcentral.